GGGUGGGGCAUUGUGAGUCACAUGCCUGGAUUCUCACCUGGGCCAAUGGGCUUCAGUCUGUAAUAACUGCAGAAGGAGGAGGAGUUCCUCUGUCUUUACUCUCUUCAGGCAGUUGUUGUGGUCUCUCAGCGCUUGUUGGGUUCACAACCUACUAAAUAAGCCGGCUGGUCUUCACCUUCCUAGACAAGUCAACUCAGAGGAGGUGGCAGGGGCGAGUCUUGGCUCGAGUCCCAGCUGGGGCCAGGCUGUGGGGUGGGCAGGCGAGCAGCGGGUGAUACCAUCUCUGCAAGUGCAGCAUAGCCUCAGCCUAGGGCAGCGGGAGUGUGUGGCCAAUGCUGUGAGCAGAAGCACAGGUGGUGGCAGACAGGAAUAGAGGCGCUCAUGGGGAAUGUACUGAGCUGUUGUGUGUACCCCAAGGUGGAUGAGCACCAGGGGCCAGUUUCUCCCCAUGAGUCUGAGAUCUAUGAGGCAGCAGCUGGGGACAGAAUGGCAGGAGCACCAGUGAGUCCCAUUGUAGCCCCUGCUGAAGUGACUUUUGAAGCUGGCGAGGACCUCCACGUGCACCACAUCCAUGACCAGGAGAUGCGUGAAGAUAUGGCUUUGGAGUCCGACCCUUCUAACCAUCCAGAAGCAAGGAAAUCUCAAACAGAUGUGCACGAAAAAAGACAAAGCAGCUAUGCAAACCAUGUUUCUACUGAGCAUUUACCUCAAUUAUAUAGUUCAUGCUCCACCAUAUUCAUUGAUGACAGCACAGCCAGCCACCCUCAUCUUACAAUGACACUAAACUCUGUGGCCUUGGAGAUAUAUUAUCAUAUCAAGCAAAGAGAUGCCGAUAGAACUUUGGGCAUCUUUGAUGAACGGUUACACCCAUUUACACAAGAAUGGCUUCUGGAGGAAUACUUUAAGUAUGAUCCUGGACACAAAUUGAUUUUCACAUUUCUUCGUACUCUAUUUAAAGCCAAAAGGCUAACAGCUGACUUGGCAAUCAGAAGUUUGGUAUACAUCGAAAGACAUAAGUUAUGCCGAUAUCAACAUUUGUCCAACCAACUGGAAAAGGAUUGUCUUCGGAGCCACUCUUCUUGCCGUCAGGGUUGGGCACAAUGUGGCUGUGUGCCAUGAGCACUACUGCAAGCUCUUUGAGAACAUUACAGUUGAUGAUAU
Molecule: long non-coding RNA, 1161 nt
Filed under: Cebus imitator (Panamanian white-faced capuchin)
Lineage: Eukaryota; Metazoa; Chordata; Mammalia; Primates; Cebidae
Description: lncRNA (ENSCCAG00000038194.1)
Source: RNAcentral